RNAcentral lists this small nucleolar RNA (69 nucleotides) under Carlito syrichta (Philippine tarsier). Lineage: Eukaryota; Metazoa; Chordata; Mammalia; Primates; Tarsiidae. The record is from RNAcentral.
UCUCAGUGAUGAAAACUUUGUCCAGUUCUGCUCCUGACAGUAAGUGAUGAUGAAGUAUGUCUGAGGAGA